Molecule: unclassified non-coding RNA, 394 nt
Filed under: soil metagenome
Description: partial contains 5.8S ribosomal RNA, internal transcribed spacer 2, and large subunit ribosomal RNA
Rfam family: 5.8S ribosomal RNA (bases 1-120)
Source: RNAcentral
GAUGAAGAACGUAGCGAAAUGCGAUAAGUAAUGUGAAUUGCAGAAUUCAGUGAAUCAUCGAAUCUUUGAACGCACCUUGCGCUCCUUGGUAUUCCGAGGAGCAUGCCUGUUUGAGUGUCUUGAAGUCAUCAACCCCGCACGUUUCUUGCGAGCGUGCGGCGGUUGGAUCUGGGGGCUCUGCCGCUCUCCGAGCCGGCUCCCCUCAAAUGCUUCGGUUGGGCCUGCGGGUCGAACUCGACUGGGCGUUGUACCAUCCUCGCUCGAACGAGACGGGACCCCCUACCGUGCCGAACCUCGACCUGCCUCGCAGUGGGCGGUCAAAUCAAGCCUUUGAAAUCUGACCUCAAAUCAGGUAGGACUACCCGCUGAACUUAAGCAUAUCAAUAGCGGAGGA